AGUUCAGAUUUUGUGUGUUGUGUGUGGAAGGGGAGACUUCCCUUCUUUCUCUGUGUUAAAAGGGGUCAGAAGCCCACCAUGGAGGAGAGUAAUGCGGUAUGGGCAGCUUAUUUAAUGCCCCUUUAGUUCCUGGGACCAAAUUCUAACCUUUGACUUGGGGGUGGGACCCUAAAUUUUUGACCAAAGUCCACAAAAGGCAGCAAGGAACGAAGAAGUAAGCAAGACUAAAGACAACACGUCAUAGUAAACCACCAACAAAAAUUCCUGGGGACAGGAAAUCAAUGGAGAACAAUUCAAAACAAAUUGGUUUAGUCCCAAGCUAAUUAACUUGUCAAGCAGAUCUCCAAACCCACUGAAUCCAGGGGGGAAAGAGGUGAUGUAAUAGGAGAUUUGGGAACAUUUACCCAUUUACCAUCCUAAAAGGCUCAGCCACGACCACACACACCUCUCUCCACUCCUUUCAGUGGGUUUAAGCUGGGCUUAAUGGGUGCAAAGGACAAUUUCUUCCAGACAGUCCCUAAGAAUAGACUGUUCUCAUGCAUUCCAAAUGCUCAGUCUCCAUGGAGGAGGCUACCUGGUCACAAACAUUUCUCAAGAGGGAAUAUAUCCUCAACACCUCUUCAUUGGUAACACCCCCACCCCAAUAGAACAAAACAAUUUCUAACCAUCCUGAGAACUUCGGGGCACUUUUUUUUGGAGGGGGGAAGAAAAGAAAUCUUAAGAGGGGAGUAGGAGAGUGUGAGAAACUCCUCUUGUCUCCAAAUGGAAAAAAGGCCUUAAAAAGCUGGAUCAAAGGAAGAAAGGGGGAUGGGGGAGAGAGGCUGCUUAAUUACAAAGACACCCUUUUAAAGAAGGCGCGGGCCCUGGGAGAGGGCUCUUAGGAGAGGCACAGAAGCAGAUGUACCCACUUAGAAUUCUGGCACUCAAUGGGACCUCAAGGUCAUAGCAUCCAUCCCUCUGCUUUCUGAAUAGACUGUUCUUAAGGCAUUCUAGAAAGAGACUGAUUCGUUCUUUACAAAACUUCAGAAAAAGCAACCACACAAAAUGCUUGGGGAGGGUUCAUUAGUCUAUAAAUCCUAUUUCAUAAACCAGAAAUGAGAUUUCAAUUUCCAAGUCCAAAAGAGUAUUGAAUGUGAACUUUAAAAUUCCCUUCGAAAAUCUUUUAAAUAGGUAAACAGAGCCGCAAUUUCUCACGUAAAAGUUACUCUCUAUAUAAGUAUGGUCAGAGGUUUACUUCGUAUCUUGUCUAUGAAGUAAGAAAAAGCACUUUCAAUUUUACGGAGCCACAGACUUUUCCAAAGAAAGAAGUAUCUUAAAAUGAGGUAUGAGGUAGUGCCAGAAAGUGUCUGCAAAUGACACCGGAUAAACCCAUACAGAAUAGCUGGAACCUGAGUUAUCAUCUGUAAAUAGAUGCAACUACUCUACAACCACCUGGCUAUUAAAAUGUCCCAGGCCAGUUAUAAAAUCUAGUUUGGUCAGGCCAACUUUUCCUUCCCAGCCGAUCUGAAAUAUGAUAGCCUUUAAAAUUGUCACCCUGUAGCAUUCCUUCACUCCUUCCUGCUUUCUUUUUCCCCAUUAAAAUCAACCAACAAAAUUAGGUAAAAAUAUAAGUAAAUAAUGUGUUCCCAAAUAAGCAAUGCGUUGAGGACCUCUUGGUAAUAGGUCUUCAAGCACCACCAUUCUUAUGAGUUUGCCAUGCUUACUCAAUAGGAGGUAGAUGGGAGAUGGGUAAAGAUUUAUCCCACUUCCAAAAUGGUAUUUCAAACUAUUCUUAGCUACUAAAUGAGGGUGCUGAAAGGUCUAACUGAGAAAGCUUCACAAAGGCUGUCCUGAGAAAGGACUUUUCACAAAGCCUAGUUCAAGGAGACUUAAAUACCCUGAGCCCUCCAUUAUUGAAGAUUAUGGUGACUAAUUAUCUUCCUUUCUGAAUGGGAGAAGAGGGUUAUAUUUUUAAAAGUUUUAAUUUGCCUCCCAACUUCCACUCUUUAUGGGGGUGGGGGAGGAGAGGGAGGAGGAAGGAAAACUAAAUUAGACACUCCAAGGUGUCAGAAAAUUCUUUCCAAAAUUCAUGCUAGAGAUUGGAAUGCUGUUUCUCACAAACUGUCCCUUCCCUCUCUCAUUUAAUUGUAUUUAGUCCCUUGCUGCAAAUUAUUAUUAUAUUAUUAUUAGCGGCAAUUUACCAGGGAAAUUUACCAAUUUUACCAGUCUUUACUAUAAAAGACUGUCACUUUCCCUCUCACUUUUUGCCUUCUUUUCAUUUUCAUACACUGAUAAGCCCAUCUUGCUGUUGAAGAACCAUCAUAUAGUGACCCAGGCUUGGGACCCUCAAGCACCUGCAAGAUCCAGUAAAACUAGUUACUAACAUCUGUAGUGGCAACCCCCUCCUCACCACACACACACACACACACACACACACACACACACACACACACACAUAUACCUAAAAGAAAUUCACAGCCCCCAGGGAGGGGAGUGUGAGCCGCCAGCUCAACCCCAAGCAUUUAGGAGUAAGCAUCUAACAAUCUGAGAUAAGCCUGGACAUUCCUGAUGAGUUAAAUCCUACUAGACCUCAAGUUCCCUCUGGUCUUUAAUUCCUUUUGUGCUUAAUUACCUAGAGACCUACAAGGACCCCAGGAAGCAAGAGAGUAAAAGUACCAUCGAGUGGUGGUACCCGUUAGCAUCUUUGUGGGACUGGAAAGGAGCGCACACUCUUUAACCUAUUUAACUUGCUGCACAUCCAGGAAAACUCGCGGCCAGCUGCAAAGAAAGUAGAACACACAGGCAUCCCCACACGCAUCUAGAUUGACUCACUCAUGCUGAGGUUACGAUCAAGUUCAUGCCACCAUGGAUUCCUGCCCCAGAUCCCCGCGAAAAGUAACCACGCGUCUCCUACCCCUGUAAGCAACGAAGACAAGGUGACGACUCUGCUCGCUCAAGAGGCUUCCGUCCCAGGCCGGAGGCCAGGGAUGGGCAGGAGGGAAGCCCCAACUCCCGGCUGCUCCCCUCCUCGCUGCUCGGUCCGGGCUCUCCUUGGUGGCAGUGGACAAGCAGGAUACCGGGCCGGAGGGUGGAGCAGCGGAUGGUCGGAGGCGAGACAGACUGGAGGUGGGGGUGGAGGAGGCGGUGAGAACUAAGAGAAGAUGAGGCGAAAGGGAGCGGAGAUGGAGGAAUAAAUCAGGGGGUCUACCAGCUUGGGCAGCCAGAAAUCUCCU
RNAcentral lists this long non-coding RNA (3212 nucleotides) under Sus scrofa (pig). Its description in RNAcentral is "lncRNA (ENSSSCG00005002452.1)". The record is from RNAcentral. Lineage: Eukaryota; Metazoa; Chordata; Mammalia; Artiodactyla; Suidae.